This 1330-nucleotide long non-coding RNA is filed under the name Capsicum annuum. RNAcentral's name for it is "long non-coding RNA (CANN_LNC009701)". The record is from RNAcentral. Lineage: Eukaryota; Viridiplantae; Streptophyta; Magnoliopsida; Solanales; Solanaceae.
CUACUUUGUAUUAUAUAUUAACAUAUAACUAAUUUUGUAAUCGAGAGAUGCGAAAGAAGUAAUACCGUUAAUUAAAGUAUUGAUAGAUUGUUAAUAUUUAUUUGAUGACAUUUAUCUAUUUUAUGUUACACUUAAUUCUACACUUAUUUGUAAUCAAAAAAGGCGAAUAGUGUAAUUAUUAGUUAUAACAAGUAAGGUUAACGAAAGGGACUUACUAAUAGAGCAUGUUUUAGUUGAAAUACAUAUUUUUGAUUCUUUAAUAUUAUUAUUUUGAUGAUUAAAUUGUAUAACCGAUAGGAGUACAUUUAAUUGUUCAAAUUCAGUAAUUAUAUAAAAAUAUAACCAUGAAAGGUAUUUACACAUUUAUGAGAAGAAAUUAAGAAAUAAAGAAUUACUUUAUAAUAAAAAUAUCAAGUGAAGUCGGGAUCUAACACCUUUUAACAUAUUGUGAAAAAUAUUUUCUCUCUUUACAAGUUAUUAAUUAGUUAAUUUACCAUUCAACUCUUUCUGAUUUUCUCAAAUAGUAAUUAAACAAGAACUAUUUGUAGAAUAGAAAAGUCAAUCUCUAUGAGUUCGACAUCUUUCUACACUAUUAUUUGACAAAUUACGCAUUAAAAAACAUGUAUACAUCAGUGACUUGUCAAUCACGCAAGGAACAAAUCAAAGGACUACUACCUUCAACCCAACAAUCAAGGAAACAAUCAAUUCCAUAAGGAAAGAAAAUUUUCGUCAAAGGUCAUACGCGACAGUAAAGGAAAAGAAGAAUCUCAAUCUAGAUUCAAUAGAAGAAGAUCAAGACACAAGAGAAACGAAGAUGAUACAGACAUAUCUGACAAGGAUAUAUACAUUCAUUCUUGAGUACCCUUACUAUUCUCAAGAUUGACUAUAUCCCUUUGGUUAUCCUAAAGAGAACUAGAACAGAAUUAGAAGAAAGAAAAUUUUGAUUUCCAAAAUCAUAAAAGUCUUUAAUGACUAUCUCCAAUAGUGCAAUCAACAUUUAUGAUUCUCCAAUGUCUCGCUUAGAAGAUACCUAUAUAAAGAGAUAUUUGUCAAAAAAAUUGUUGUGCAACUUCACCCGGACUCUUGUAUUUAAUCUUUAUUCUUGCAAUCAUUACUGUGAUAUUUUUGUUGGUGUAUAUGUAUUUUAUUAUUAAAUUAAUAUAUUAAGGGUAUAUGUUAGUGGGUAUAAAUUGUGUAUUAUGAGUAUUAUUAUUUACAUUUGUUAGUGGAAGAAUGUGGUCAUGAGUUUCUUGAAACACCUAUAACAACUAAGUCUUUAUUUGUCCAUUAUGCUUGUAACUCAUGUAACAUCCAACCAUUCAUUUACCCA